Pelobates cultripes (western spadefoot toad) is the source of this 188-nucleotide non-coding RNA. NCBI's taxonomy places the organism in Eukaryota, Metazoa, Chordata, Amphibia, Anura, Pelobatidae. The record is from the annotation of a GenBank genome assembly.
UCCAGCGCACUCACCUAUCCACUAAACAGCAACUUCAAUGUUGAAAGAUUUUAUUUGUUUUUGCAAUGUAUGAUCAUAUAAUGUAACUAAACCCCCAUUAUUUUUGCCUAGAUUAGGUGUUUUUAAAAAAACAAAUAAAAUCUUUCAACAUUGAAGUUGCUGUUUAGUGGAUAGGUGAGUGCGCUGGA